GUGGGCUUCCAAAGUGAAAGGAGAGGCGAGAGCUGGCUGACUGCCAAAAUACAAUGCUCCCAUUAAAUUUAUCGAUAAGAACAAUAACAAACAUCACUAUCAUAUCGAUAAAAAGGUGAAUCGAGGUUAAUUCUUAACCGUGUCGCAGGUUUAUCCUUGAACAAAUAUUAUAAACGCAAAACGUUUGGUAUACAGAUGUACAUACGUCGUGUGUAUUGAAGCGUUUGACACAGCAGUAUCGAAUGUGUGUUUAUCCUUACAAGGUUGCGUGCGAGUCUACUUCGAAGAGUAUUGUUACAUUCGGACUUGGAUUAAAGAAAUUGAGACUUCAAGCACAUGUCUCCUGCCAAGAAUAAGUGAAUCCACAUUUGUUCACAUUAACUGAAAUGUAGAGUGAUAGAACAAGCAUUGGCUGCCGAUCUAGACUGCCACAAUCUGGACCAACAAAUACAAAUACCGAAGGGGUCUACCCAGUCCUGGAGCGUGUGGACAGAACGAGGAAGAGCAUACGGAGAACUUUGCGUGUUUCAAACUAUAAAAGAAAAAACAACCUUCGAAAAGCCCUUAUGAAAUUAUGAUGACUUGGUAUGGUAGUACAUCAGGGAAAGUGUCUCUCGUAGUACGGACGAAGCACGACAGGUGGCGCACGAGUAGUUUGAAGAAAUCGUUAUUUUUCAUAGAACUAGCGAGCGUGACCGGGAUUCAGUGGUAUUUUAUAACUUCCUUUUCUCUAAUUUAAUGAUUCCUUCAAAUCAAAGGUCAUAUAUAAAACAGUGGCUUUAUACAGGGUGUCCCACAAGGGUAUAUCAAGCCGGAAACUGUAGGUAGAGGUCUAGUAGAAUAAUAAAUUCGACGAAAAAGGUCGUUCCCAAGUAAAUGGUUAAGUACAUAAGUACUUAACGACGAGUGAACACAACUAACCAACUGUUCUUCUGCCAGACCUUGAAAUAUGUUUUACGUAAGGUACAGUGCAUGAUUCGUAAUAAAAAUAAGGCUUGCCACAUAUAAAAAGAUGAGAUUUUUUUUAUUUCUUAGAUGGGGGACGAAGUCAUGGCCCACCUAGUGAUAAAUAGCAAACGGAGCUCAUAGACAUGUAAAAUGUAAAUGCCACCUCCCACCUUGAGACAUUGGGUUCUGAGUCUCAGUUCUACAGUAGGUACAACCUCUGCUCCAUCCUUCAAAGCGAAACGCAUUACUGCUUCUCCGUAGAAAUAGAUAGAGCGAUGGUACCUACCCGUGCGGGCUCACACCAGGAAGUAAUCGUAUUAAUAUUGAUCGUACGAAUUGAGUACGCACACUGCAUACAUUUUUCUCCGCCAAAUAGGCACUGUCACUAUGAUAUCGCUUUCAUAAAGCCCUCUUUGGCACAUGAUCAAUAAUCUGUAUAUUCUAGGUCGAGGUUACAUAAGUGAUAACUUGAAUCACUUUUGUCUCAAAGAGAUUUAUGUUCGUAAAUCAAGUUUGACACAAAAAGUGUAAAAAUAAUUGUAAAAAUGAA
Bombyx mori (domestic silkworm) is the source of this 1498-nucleotide long non-coding RNA. RefSeq lists it as uncharacterized. The transcript is spliced from 2 exons. The record is from RefSeq and is a predicted model, not a curated record. NCBI's taxonomy places the organism in Eukaryota, Metazoa, Arthropoda, Insecta, Lepidoptera, Bombycidae.